GUAAGGAAUAUUGGACAAUGGGCGAAAGCCUGAUCCAGCCAUGCCGCGUGUGUGAAGAAGGUCUUCGGAUUGUAAAGCACUUUAAGUUGGGAGGAAGGGUAGUAACCUAAUACGUUGCUACUUUGACGUUACCGACAGAAUAAGCACCGGCUAACUUCGUGCCAGCAGCCGCGGUAAUACGAAGGGUGCAAGCGUUAAUCGGAAUUACUGGGCGUAAAGCGCGCGUAGGUGGUUCAGUAAGUUGGAAGUGAAAUCCCCGGGCUCAACCUGGGAACUGCUUUCAAGACUGCUGAGCUAGAGUACGGUAGAGGGUGGUGGAAUUUCCUGUGUAGCGGUGAAAUGCGUAGAUAUAGGAAGGAACACCAGUGGCGAAGGCGACCACCUGGACUGAUACUGACACUGAGGUGCGAAAGCGUGGGGAGCAAACAGGAUUAGAAACCCGAGUAGUCC
Molecule: ribosomal RNA, 450 nt
Filed under: uncultured bacterium
Lineage: Bacteria
Description: bacterial SSU rRNA
Rfam family: Bacterial small subunit ribosomal RNA
Source: RNAcentral